CAGCAGUCGCCGCGGUAAAACGGAGGGUGCAAGCGUUAAUCGGAAUUACUGGGCGUAAAGCGCACGCAGGCGGUCUGACAAGUCAGAUGUGAAAUCCCCGGGCUUAACCUGGGAACUGCAUUUGAAACUGUCAGGCUGGAGUCUUGUAGAGGGGGGUAGAAUUCCAGGUGUAGCGGUGAAAUGCGUAGAGAUCUGGAGGAAUACCGGUGGCGAAGGCGGCCCCCUGGACAAAGACUGACGCUCAGGUGCGAAAGCGUGGGGAGCAAACAGGAUUAGAUACCCCGGUAGUCCCUGUCUCUUAUAC
RNAcentral lists this ribosomal RNA (304 nucleotides) under uncultured bacterium. RNAcentral describes it as "partial 16S ribosomal RNA". It matches the Rfam family "Bacterial small subunit ribosomal RNA", at positions 509 to 807 of the family's 1533-position model. The record is from RNAcentral.